GACAACGAAAGAUGAUGUUUACUGACACCAAAAAAAGAUCGACCAGACAUUUACGGAUGAAUGGGAAGAACUCGACGUUUACCGACAUCGAAAGAUGAUGUUUACUGACACCAAAAAAAGGAUCGACCAGACAUUUACGGAUGAAUGGGAAGAACUCGACGUUUACCGACAUCGAAAGAUGAUGUUUACUGACACCAAAAAAAGGAUCGACCAGAC
RNAcentral lists this long non-coding RNA (216 nucleotides) under Lathyrus oleraceus (garden pea). RNAcentral describes it as "Pisum sativum (pea) long non-coding RNA (PSAT_LNC037325)". Lineage: Eukaryota; Viridiplantae; Streptophyta; Magnoliopsida; Fabales; Fabaceae. The record is from RNAcentral.